CCUUCGAUAGCUCAGUUGGUAGAGCGGUGGACUGUAGAAGCGAGUCGAGAGCGAUAGUAAUCCAUAGGUCACUGGUUCAAAUCCGGUUCGAAGGA
This 95-nucleotide transfer RNA is filed under the name Anopheles stephensi (Asian malaria mosquito). RNAcentral's name for it is "tRNA tRNA-Tyr". It matches the Rfam family "tRNA". From Rfam's summary of the family: Transfer RNA (tRNA) molecules are approximately 80 nucleotides in length. Lineage: Eukaryota; Metazoa; Arthropoda; Insecta; Diptera; Culicidae. The record is from Rfam by way of RNAcentral.